This 272-nucleotide long non-coding RNA is filed under the name Homo sapiens (human). Its description in RNAcentral is "HSALNT0043436". Lineage: Eukaryota; Metazoa; Chordata; Mammalia; Primates; Hominidae. The record is from RNAcentral.
UGAAAAGAAUGAAUGAUGAUGGGAAGGAUUUGAGCAUCAAGUCCCAUGGAAAAUUGCAGACGGAAACUAAGAUUUGUAUCACGGGGAAGAAAAGAUCAAGAUGAGUCUGAUAACUGAAGGCCCAGGAAGUGGCUGCCUUCUUGGUAUGUCCACAUAUGGCAGAAUAACAGAGAGAAGAGAAGAGAAAGAGAAGAGAAAAGAAGACAAGAGAAGAGAAGAAAGAGAAGAGAAAAGAAGACAAGAGAGGAGAAGAGAGGAGAGGAGAAGAGGGG